CUCUUGAGAUUUUGUUUUGAGAGUGGCUGAAUGAUACUGGCUUUUACUGAGCAGGGUGGGAAGACUUGAGGAACAGGUUUGGAAUCAAGAGGUGUGUUUUUGGGCACCUAAGUCUGAGAGGCUAUUAGACAGUUCAGUGCAGAUAUCAAGCAGACAAGUAGGAUAUACAUCUGAAGGCCAAGUUUAUACAUCUGAAGACACAAAUUUAAGAGACAACUGCAUGUAGGUGAUGCUUAAAGCCAACGCCCUGGGUGAGAUCACAUAGGAAAGGGGAGAUGCUGACGAAGGCCAGGAUGGGCUCCAGACACCCCAGCAUUUGGAGUUUGGGCCUUAGAGAAGAAGCCAGAGCAGCAUCCUGGCUCCUGAGGUUGCAUGUCUUCCUGGACCUAUAAGAAGGAACUGCUCUGCUGUGGGAAUUGCUGCAUUCCUGGUUGGGACCAGCAUGCUGCUUGGCUUUGAAUGUUCCCAAAGCCUCAGCUUGCCCGGGGGGGUGGGGGGGGGAAGGCUUCUGUCCCCACGCUCUGCGUGCCUGGCCAACAGCCUCCUUAAAGACUCCAACAAAGAGUGACAACAGGACUGGGGACGACCACCUUUUUGACCUGACUUUAGCUAAUGGAGCACAUCUAACAUAGUGACAUAAGGAGCUCAAAGAUAAGGCACCCCUAUAAAAGGACCCGGCUGGGCCAUGUAAGCCAGCUGUCUUUGAGGAUUCCUCUGCUUGACAUGAAGAAACAGCUGCAGAGGAGAUAUCAGGUCUUGGGGAUAUUUCCCUUUAAAUGUAUCUUGUUUUUGUUUUUUUGAGGUGGCUGAGGAGGAGAGCUUUCAAUUACCACUCAUGAAAAGUAGCUGUUGCAUUCUGUGUUCCACACCACCUCCCCUCAGCCUGCCUGCAGCCUCAGCGGUGGCCAGGAGGGCACCCUUCAGCUCCCUGGCAGCGCCCACCUCCAGCUGCUGUGGAGCACCUCAGCAUUUCCAGCUCAGGGCUUUUUGAAGGUUUGGUAGUUCACUUGACUUCUCCUGGACACAGGCAGCCCAAAGUGCCAGGGGUGUUACCACUCCUGGGGGAACUUCCUGCCAUGGAGGAUGGAAAGUGAGUGGGAAAAGGCCGCCUUCUCUGGUUCUUCAGAGCUGCAAUUCUGGGGGUGCUCUCCACCAUUCCUCAGAGAGUCCCAGUUGCCCACGGUAAUAACCAGUGGAUUGGUGCUUCCUCUACUGUCUUCUUUCUCCUCUCCUCUCCCCUCUGCCCCACUUGUGCAUCCUAGGAUCCCUUCCCAAAAAGGCCACUUGGACCCAAGACACAAGUCUCUGUCUGAGGUUUUGGUUUGGGGAGAACCUAAGCUAACUCAUACAUCAGUGAGUAUGAUGGGAACUGGUUUUUCUUUAACAUUAAGAAAUAAAGCUGCUCCUUUGCUGAACAAAGGCAAAAGGGAGACUGCCACCAUUGGGAAGAGGAACUGUCCUGGAAGCUGAAGAGGUGGGAACACUGUUCUGAUUGUUAGUAACUAAGUUAAGCCCCAGUGUUGCCUGUUAAUAUAGGCCAGGGGCUGCUGGUGGCUGGGGGAGGAAUAACUGGGCUCAUUUUGAGCAUGGAGGGGCUCCACGGAAUGUGGAGGCAGGAUGUGUGAGUGGGGAGACGCUAAGGCAGGUACAAAAUGUCCAAAGUAAACCACGGAGGCCUGGGGAGCCCAAACUGAGGUUCCAGAGUCAGAGGUGAUAUGGUGAAGUAGCCUUGUGAAGCAGGGGUGCUCUAGAUUAAUUGCAGAAACCAAGAGUGAGGCCAGAUAAAAGCUUGUAUCCGUUCCCAGCAUUUGUGUGAGGGACCCUGACGGAGCCAUGACCCUAAUAAACCCAUGGGUCUAAUUACAGUGCCCUCCAGGGCGGCAGGUCUGUUAGUAUCGAAAAGAAAAGGAAAUGGAGGGGAGACAGGGACACCUGCAUCCCCAGGGCAUGAGUUCAGUCCACAGAGAGGAAGAGCAAACAAAGGUCACGGGCAGCAAAGCUGGACUUCCAGGAACAAGCAACAGAAACUGAGAAGCAGACGAUCACCUGCCUUCCUUUCUGCUGGUUUUUUAUGAGGUUGAUUUUUUUCUCAUUUAUUUCUGGGUCUACAUAGAAAAUGUAAUUACAGUGUUUCUGGAAAAAGGACUAUUUUUCCCAGUGCUACAGCUGCAUAACAAUUUUAAUUCCACAAGAACUGGGCAGUCAAUGACAGGUACAACUGUCAAUGUUGGGCAGCAGAUACCGUGGGAUGUGUGUAGGAGGCAGCGAUCAGAGCACGUCCAUGGACCUGCAGUGUAGGAAUCUUGACAGGACUUCAAAUGGUUGUAUUAUUGCAGCCUGGACAACCCGUAUCCUACCCUCAAUCAAACCAAACCAAAAAUCCUACCUGAGACCCCCCCCCCCCGCCCCAAACUGUAGGGAUUUAUCUGUGAUCCUGUAAUUUCUAGACAGUUCCUGGUAGUUUUAGCUCAAUAAUUACAAUAAUCAGAGAGAACUAUUAUUGUAAAU
Molecule: long non-coding RNA, 2508 nt
Organism: Manis pentadactyla (Chinese pangolin)
Lineage: Eukaryota; Metazoa; Chordata; Mammalia; Pholidota; Manidae
Exons: 3
Source: RefSeq, a predicted model, not a curated record